UUGUUGCUGGUCCUCAACUGGGGGCAUGUGCACGCUCUGUUUACACAUCCACUCACACCUGUGCACCCACUGUGGUUCUAUGGCCUGGGGGGCUACGUCCCUUUCGCCGUGGUUCUACGUCUUUACACACACACUGUAAUAAAGUUUCACGGAAUGCAUCAUGCGUUUAACGCAAUACAAUACAACUUUCAGCAACGGAUCUCUUGGCUCUCGCAUCGAUGAAGAACGCAGCGAAAUGCGAUAAGUAAUGUGAAUUGCAGAAUUCAGUGAAUCAUCGAAUCUUUGAACGCACCUUGCGCCUUCUGGCUAUUCCAGAGGGCAUGCCUGUUUGAGUAUCAUGAACACCUCAACUCUCAUGGUUUUGCCGUGAUGAGCUUGGAUUUUGGAGGUCUUGCUGGCCCGCGGUCAGCUCCUCUCAAACGAAUCAGCUUGCCAGUGUUUGGUGGCAUCACAGGUGUGAUAACUAUCUACGCUUGUGGCUUCCACCAGGUAACCUUCAGCAAUGGAGGUUCGCUGGAGCUCACAAAUGUCUCUCCUCAGCGAGGACAGCGUCUUGAA
This 558-nucleotide ribosomal RNA is filed under the name uncultured Tomentella. RNAcentral's name for it is "eukaryotic LSU rRNA". The stretch from base 184 to 338 matches the Rfam family "5.8S ribosomal RNA". Lineage: Eukaryota; Fungi; Basidiomycota; Agaricomycetes; Thelephorales; Thelephoraceae. The record is from RNAcentral.